CUUAGGGUGCGUUUGGUUCGCAUUAUGAAAGAUUACUAGGAAUAAAAGAUAUCCGAGAAUCUUAUUCAUAUUAAUCCUAUUACUAAGAAUGUAAAAUUCCUGUGUUUGGUUCGCACAGUAAUAUUAAUUAGUGAUGUUAUUUAAUAUUACAAAAAAUAUAUAAUUAAUUAAUUAAUUUAUUUAUUUAAUUUUAGAUAAUGUUACCAGAAGUUUCAACAUCUUUUUAGAAAAAAGAAAGAGAAAGUUAGGGAGAGAGAGAGAGCAUAAUUUAAAAAAAUAGAAAGAAAAAUAUAGUCGAAAUUAGAGGGAGUGAGAGAGUUGAAAUUUUAGAAAGAGAGGGAGAGAAAGCUUAGUUUAGAGAGAGAAAAAAAAGUUGAAUUUUAGAGAGAAAAAUAAGUUUAGAGAGAGAUAUAAGGUUAGAGUGUAAAGAAAAAUAAUAUCAAUUAGCCGGCGGGUAGGAAGAAAGAAAGAGAUUAGACAUAUUAUGAUUAUCCCAAUCCAUUAAUAUAAGGAUACCCACCCUCCCUCAAGGGAAUGAGAUUAGUACUUUGGGGUGAAUCUUAUUCCCAAGUGAAUUCAAUAUUACCAACUAGAUUACUUAGUGCGUUUAACCAAACACCGUCAUAUUUUUUUAUUCCCAUUGGAUUACUAGUAAUCUUUAAAAGAUAGCGCGAACCAAACGCACCCUUAGAG
This 693-nucleotide long non-coding RNA is filed under the name Ananas comosus (pineapple). Its description in RNAcentral is "long non-coding RNA (ACOM_LNC013743)". Lineage: Eukaryota; Viridiplantae; Streptophyta; Magnoliopsida; Poales; Bromeliaceae. The record is from RNAcentral.